RNAcentral lists this non-coding RNA (25 nucleotides) under Mus musculus (house mouse). Lineage: Eukaryota; Metazoa; Chordata; Mammalia; Rodentia; Muridae. The record is from RNAcentral.
UGUGACACUUGAGGGCCAAUACGAG